Camelina sativa (false flax) is the source of this 207-nucleotide non-coding RNA. NCBI's taxonomy places the organism in Eukaryota, Viridiplantae, Streptophyta, Magnoliopsida, Brassicales, Brassicaceae. The record is from RefSeq and is a predicted model, not a curated record.
AAAACGUAACUUUGGUGAAAAAAUAUAUAGAUGAUGUGUUCGAACUUGAAGGAGAAUAUGAUUCAGUAGUAAUAUGUCUUGGAUCCAAGAUAGACUUUCUUCCAGGGCUUAUUGGAAAGCUACCUUUAAGGACUUGCCGAGGUGUCAUUACUCAUUUGCAGUUACCCGAGAGUGCCAGGGGUUACCCUGAUGGUGGACCUUCGAUCU